This 224-nucleotide unclassified non-coding RNA is filed under the name Hevea brasiliensis (rubber tree). The record is from RNAcentral. Lineage: Eukaryota; Viridiplantae; Streptophyta; Magnoliopsida; Malpighiales; Euphorbiaceae.
ACUGAUUUCUACUCUCUGUAUCUUCUUCUUGUUAAAUAUAAGUCUUACCCCAGUUCUUGGUGAAGUGAUCUUUGAAGAUGGCUACUCAGUCAGCACAGUGAUUGAUGGCAACAAGAUCAAAAUUAACCCUUACUCCAUCAUCCCUGUAUCUGGUGAUACUCAUUUCAUCAUUCUUGAUUCUUCUGCCAGUACUUUUUACACAUUAUCAUACAACAAAGACUCAG